Molecule: non-coding RNA, 2576 nt
Organism: Rattus norvegicus (Norway rat)
Lineage: Eukaryota; Metazoa; Chordata; Mammalia; Rodentia; Muridae
Source: RefSeq, a predicted model, not a curated record
CUUUGCCAACUUUCCUCAUGUCUAUUGGUCUAGGUGCAAAAUAAAACACACACACACACAAAAGGAAAACCAAAGGCUUGCUCACCUCCUGUGACUCUACAGGGGAAUUCCAAUGACAGAGAACACCCUGUCCCUGCCUCCCACCUUUUCCACCCCACACAGAAGGAACAAGCCUACGGGAAGAAGUCAUUUCCCUGUUCCACCAUUUGUAAGCACAUUUUCCAGAUCAGUCACGACUUUUCAAUUUCAUAAGGCUUCCGCAUCCAAAGGAGAUGUAGGGUUGGUCUAACCUCACAACAGACUUAACUCCUUCUCAAAGGUAAAAUGCUUGUCAGCCUAAAGAAGAAUGGAAAUUGCAUGGUUGACGGAGGGAGAACUUCUGCACUGUUGGCAUACAAACAGGGCUCCAUGCUGAUGGCAACUUUGGGGUAAAGAUGGGGUUUAUUUUCCACAGGUCGUUAUCCACAGGAAAUCUAACUAGAGCUAAUGCAGCAGGACAGUUUGGCUAGGCUGUGGAAACAAAUGUUUGAGAGCCCUUAAGAUAACUGUCGCUCACCUUCCAGAUUCAUUAAUCGCUGGCAAGCUUCAUGAAGCCAUCUAGUAAGGAGGAAGCAAAGAGGAGGGUGUGGAAUAUAUGCCAAACAAAUCAUGCCCUUGUGCUGACAUCAAAGAUAGAACGCUCCAGUGAGAUGAAAUGUUAAGUCCUCUUUGCUCUGAGUGAAUCUGUGUGUAUAUGUGUGCAUGUGUCUGUGUGUGUGUGUGUGUGUGUGUGUGUGUGUGUGUGUGUGUGUGAGAGAGAGAGAGAGAGAGAGAGAGAGAGAGAGAGAGAGAGAGUGUAUGCAAAAGAGGGGCUGGGGGAGAACAGAGACAAGCAGCAACCAAAGAAAAAGUAGAAAAAUAAAGACAGGAAGAGAGCUAAGCAUUAGGGUGCAGGCUUGUAAUCUCAACACUCAAGAGCAUGCGACAGGACCAUUACUAUGAGUUCCAGGGAAGCCUGGGCAACAACAUGAGACCCUGUCUCAAAAACAAAAACAGACAAACAAAACAACAGAGAGGAAGAGCUUGGGGCCUAAAAAAACAAUGUGGCUCUAUGAUCCUAAACUGUAAACCGUGUCGCUUGAUCCCUUUCAUCUCACUCCCAUCUCUGCUGGGGGAUUUAUUACUGUGUCUGGAGGAAAUAAGAGUAAGAAGGCAGGACAGACACCCAAAGAGAUAAAACUUCAUAUAUGACCCUGUAGUCCUGCCUUCUGCAGAGAGCAAAGCAAAUACUGGAGCGCUCCAUCUUUUCUAUUAACUUUUAAGAAACCUGAUGUGGCUGUAAUAUUUCCUAAACUAGUUUCCAGCCAGGAUUUCCCAAGUGCAUCUAAUUGCCCACUUUAUCAAAGGCACUAUCAGGUAAAUGGUGUUUCACCUCCGCUGGGCCUGCUGAAGGUUGACACCCAGGACUUGUCAGGCAAUGGAUCACAGUGCUGGCAUGGGGGCCCCUUGUUCUGCAUUCCUGCAAGAGGGUGACAGUAAAUUAUGACAUCUGCCAGGAAGUUCUGAACAGGACUGUGCGACCGGAUACACCUACCCAACACAUGAGGAAAGCUUUUAGGAUGUGACUGGAGAUGUGGCUGAAAACUCUUAAAGGGACAAAGAGCCUUUGUCGACACAACAGAGGAGGAAGCUGAUUCCUGAUCAUGUUCUUCAGGACUGAAAACUUGUAUAGAUCCAGUGGGUGUGCAACAUAAAGAAAUAUGGAGGGUGGAAAAUUGUCUUUUGGACUUACUCUGUGCAGAAGACAGCCUACCUUUUAGUACUGAGGUACUUUGGAUGACUGGGACUGAGUCCUUAGAGCUAGCUCUGGACAACUGCAGAAUGCAUGCUCAAAGGUGAUCCAUGGAGCUGAGCUGUUCAAACACUUUGUCUCUCAGUCAGAGGUUGAAGAGUGAGCCAAUGGAAAGAAUGCGCCUGACAAUUACAUCCUACCUCCUGGAUGAGCAAAUCAGGUCAUUCACCAAUGCUGUUUACAUCUGUAGUUAAUUUCAUCUUAUCAAGACAGAUGAAGCAAAUCCAUUUUCUGUGAAUAGCAGGGUCUAGCAGACUCGAAUGACAGUCUGAAGACUGGUGUGAGAAAAAUCUUUGCUUGCCUACCAGGGCACAGGGUUCGUGUACCAAAAUGUUUCUGUGGAACUCAGUGGACAACCUUUAGGAGUCAGUUUGCUCCUUUCAUCCUGUGGGUUCCAGUCUGAGACCCCAGUUCAUGGAAUGGUACACCCUACACUCAGGAUGACUUUCUCCUCAGGCAACCUGUCUGCCAACAUCCUUACAGGCAAACCCAGACUCCUGGUAGCACUGAAACUAGGAAUGUUUAUCCAUGGGAAAUUAUUAUAUCCCUUUUAUUUGCCAAAGUGUUUGGGCCGUUGUCAAAGAAUAAAUAUCCCCAGGAGAAUGAGAAUAAGCCAACAUGGACAUAAGCCAUGAAUGACUUAGAAGAUCAAGGUAACAAUUUCUGGAAAUUUUUACAUAAGUGUACAUGUUUAUAGUGAUGCCAACACAUGUCUUAUGAAAUAUUAAAUGUUCAUUUACUCUUA